Non-coding RNA from Sus scrofa (pig), 602 nucleotides. Lineage: Eukaryota; Metazoa; Chordata; Mammalia; Artiodactyla; Suidae. The record is from RefSeq and is a predicted model, not a curated record.
CGCCAGCCUAAGACAUCUUCGCCUGCUCUCAGACACAGUCAGUAGCAGGGGAAUGUCUUUACCAGGAAAGUUUUUUCUACUCUUGGAACUUCUGACUGUUUAAAUUCUAGCUACCACGAACUUCUCUACAGAGUCAACACCAUCGAGGAUAUUUUGGGAUCCGAGCCAUUAAUUGCAACACAGGCUGAUAAGAGCUGAAAAGUCCAGACGCCUAAGAAAGAAAGCAGUGCAAGCAGAGGCAUAGAAAUCUUAAGAUUCAACAUCUCCCUGCCCAGGUGGAGUCUGAGAAACUUAAAUAAUCUCCUUGCCUGUUCUAGGUUGUGAUCAGUUUCUGAGUGUUGUUGACACCAAGUGCCAUCAUUUGAAGUGGGCUUCUUCUCAUCAGGCAGCUGAAUAGCUUCAGAACUCAGUAAUUAAGGGGUCAGUGACUCAUGCAAAGCAUUCUACAUUUAGACACAGAUAACUUGUACUUCCAAACAUGACUGAAAAAAACCCUCACCUUUAACCAACUUUUAUUCCUCCUGCUCUCUCAUUUUCCUGGAAACUGAUUAGAAAUAGCUCUGUAAUUUAAGCCUAAUGACAAUUAAAGUACAAAGUCAUUA